CGAGGUAUAUUUCAAUCGGUUAGAAAAAGCGGCCCAUACCCGUUAAAUCAAAGUUCGAGUCUUUGUACCUCGACCA
Molecule: transfer RNA, 76 nt
Filed under: Candidatus Omnitrophota bacterium
Lineage: Bacteria; Pseudomonadati; Candidatus Omnitrophota
Also listed under: 1 other name
Description: tRNA-Met
Rfam family: tRNA
About the family: Transfer RNA (tRNA) molecules are approximately 80 nucleotides in length.
Source: RNAcentral